This 98-nucleotide ribosomal RNA is filed under the name uncultured fungus. RNAcentral's name for it is "partial small subunit ribosomal RNA". The record is from RNAcentral. Lineage: Eukaryota; Fungi.
CUUUCCGUAGGUGAACCUGCUGAACUUAAGCAUAUACCCGCUGAACUUAAGCAUAUACCCGCUGAACUUAAGCAUAUACCCGCUGAACUUAAGCAUAU